Long non-coding RNA from Phascolarctos cinereus (koala), 599 nucleotides. RefSeq lists it as uncharacterized. The record is from RefSeq and is a predicted model, not a curated record. NCBI's taxonomy places the organism in Eukaryota, Metazoa, Chordata, Mammalia, Diprotodontia, Phascolarctidae.
UAGCAAGUUAUCUGAGGCCAGAUUUGAACUCAGGAAGACUCAUCUUCCUGACUCCAGGCCUGGAGCUUUAUCCGCUUUGCAACCUAACUGCCCAGGAGAGUGGUCUUUGUACUAGACAUAACAGACUAUGGCUGACUGAGAUGAGUAAGAAGAUAGAGAGCACCUUGAUGAACUCAUCAUCUGCCCCAGAUGGACUCCAUUCUUGGAGUCAAUGAAGUCCAAUGGCAAGACAAAAGUCAAGAUGCCUGUCGAUGGCCUGGAACUGGUGGAUGACCUUGGCCUUUCACUGGAUUUAGGAAAUAGAUCAAGUUUCCCCUACCAAGGGAGUUGAGACUUUGACCUUGGAAGAUGAGGGUCUAUGUAGUCCUGGAUGGGUUGCAAACAGAGAUUCUGAAAAAUGAGACAUUUCCAGCCCUGGUGGUCAUCUUACGAGUUGGAGAAGCUGGGUCAGCUGUUCAGUGGGAGGCCUAUUUCAAGUUUACAUUCCCCUCAACCUCAGUGAGAGGAGAAGGACAUGGUGAUUUUUCUGCUUCCCGAAUGACUAUCACCCUUCACCUUGUGUUUCCUCAUCUGUAAACCGAGCUGGAGAAGAAAAUGGC